UGUGAGUGUAGACUAACAAACAGGGAGUAACAGAUGAGCCCAGACCGUGGGAAAAGAAAAUCACAAAAGCGUGUGUUGCUUUCUUCAGAAUGCCUGCAGCGUGUGCCAGGCAAGGAUGCCAGGCCUGCCGGGGCAGAAGGGCGAGAAGGGCUCCCCAGGACUGCCCGGCGCCGAGGGCAUGGAGGGACAGAAGGGAGAGCAAGGUCUGCGAGGCCCUGUGGGAAACCCUGGGAAAGAGGGACCAAAGGGAGUUAAAGGAGAAAGAGGAUUCCCUGGUUCUGCUGGAGAGAAAGGAGAUGAGGGCCCCCCUGGCGUACCCGGAUUCCCAGGUGCAACAGGUCGUACUGGAGCUCCGGU
RNAcentral lists this long non-coding RNA (357 nucleotides) under Scleropages formosus (Asian bonytongue). RNAcentral describes it as "lncRNA (ENSSFOG00015031514.1)". The record is from RNAcentral. Lineage: Eukaryota; Metazoa; Chordata; Actinopteri; Osteoglossiformes; Osteoglossidae.